UGCGGUGAACUGACUGGCAAGAGGCAGCUGACAGAAUCGCAAAAGUUCAGUGAAAACGUUCAACGAAACGAAACUGACCAGCGGGACGCCAUAGAUGUAGCUUUAACUGAAACUUCAAUUCACAAGCGGAAAUAAUAAGCACUCAGAGACUCUGAGUGCUGUCGAAUUCUUUUUCUUCAUUGGCUUCGAGGUCAGCAGUGUCGUCUUGCUCACCUUGCCCAUGCCGCGUGUCCCGGAUAACGUUGACCAAGCUGUUCAACGAAAAAUAAUAUUUGUAAAACACGCUGCAAGGUAAAAUUAUAAGACUUAUGGUAUUCGCUCAUGCGAGGCCUGACAACCGAAGGCCGUAGUCUUACAGUUUAAUCUUGAGACAAGUUUAUAAAACAUUAUUUUCAUCAAACAGCUUGGCUAACAUCAGCUGGGGCACCGCAUACAUAUAUUAGUAUAUUGCCUACUAUAUAUUCGGUAUAUUGGCCACUCGUGCAGUCACAAUGUAUCAGAAAGGCUCAUAUGCGAUACAAAAGUUCAUCAACGCGGUGUAACCAGCAGUCACCAGUUGCGCAAAAAAAAAAAAAAAAAAGAAAAAAUCGUAGCCACUUGCUUCGACAAUCGCGUCUCAAUCGCUUAGCACUGCAGACCCUGACGCAAGGGAAUAGCCGAGGGCCACGAAAGACGACGGCAUCUAUUCAGCGUACAAUUGUAAUUUCGAAUAUAGCGUCGGACAUCGAUGCCCCGGAAUCUUCUUGAUACGAACUACGAAAUGCUGUCUGUGCAAACGCGUCGACGAAAUGCAGCGCGUGACAGACGAUAACAUCGAAAGCAGGAAAGGAGACCGAAAUGGAACAAAGAAACAGAUCGCGACGAUAACCCACAUUAGGCGCGGUAACUGUGCUCCGUGGUCCGGUCGCCUAGGAAACGGCCGCGCAUGCGCAACGCCACGUGACAGCGGCAGAACGCCGUUGGGGCCCGGCUGCGGACGACGUGGCUGCAAGUGCGGCGUAAUCCUGUUGGUGCUAUCAACGGACAAACUCUUCGACUUGGAAUGCGUCUCCACGUGUAUUCCUGACGCAAGCUUCGCCUGUCGGUAUCAGUGUGCGUUUUGCUGCCGUGGUGUCAUCAGCAAAGUUCAUCAUCGGUGAACCAGAAACAUUUAGUGUUGUGACAUCACGCCAGGCACAUCGCAAGAGCCUCUCUGCGAACUUCACCUUCAGUGUGCAUGUGAACAGAACUUUCGACGUGGCCCGUUCUACUGGGAUCUGCCCCAUGCAGGCGUAAUCCUGUUGGUGCUAUCAAUGGACACACUCUUCGACUUGGAAUCCCUCACCACGCGUAUUCCUGACUCAAGCUUCGCCUGUCGCUAUCAGUGUGCGCUAUCAGUGUGUGCUAUCAGUGUCGCCUGUGCGUGUCAGUGUGCCGUGGUGUCAUCAACAAAGUUCAUCUUCAGUGAUCCAGCAACGUUGACUGUUGCGUCAUCCAGCCAGGCACAUUGCAAAAGCCUCGCUGCGCACUUCACCUUCAGUGGGCUCGCGAACAGAACUUUCGACAUGGCCCGUUCUACUGGGAUUUGUCCCGUACAGGUGUGUACUAAAACUUCGUUACACACUAGGAAACAGUGAUGACCAGUUCCUGUU
Molecule: non-coding RNA, 1631 nt
Organism: Dermacentor andersoni
Lineage: Eukaryota; Metazoa; Arthropoda; Arachnida; Ixodida; Ixodidae
Source: RefSeq, a predicted model, not a curated record